RNAcentral lists this ribosomal RNA (253 nucleotides) under uncultured bacterium. Its description in RNAcentral is "partial 16S ribosomal RNA". It matches the Rfam family "Bacterial small subunit ribosomal RNA", at positions 524 to 776 of the family's 1533-position model. The record is from RNAcentral.
UACGAAGGUGGCAAGCGUUGUCCGGAUUCAUUGGGCGUAAAGGGCUCGUAGGCGGCUGCUCAAGUCGAAUGUGAAAACUCGAGGCUCAACCUCGAGCCUGCAUUCGAUACUGGGCGGCUAGAGUCUGGUAGGGGGAUCUGGAAUUCCUGGUGUAGCGGUGAAAUGCGCAGAUAUCAGGAGGAACACCGGUGGCGAAGGCGGGUCUCUGGGCAACAACUGACGCUGAGGAGCGAAAGCGUGGGGAGCGAACAGG